Molecule: unclassified non-coding RNA, 204 nt
Filed under: Hevea brasiliensis (rubber tree)
Lineage: Eukaryota; Viridiplantae; Streptophyta; Magnoliopsida; Malpighiales; Euphorbiaceae
Source: RNAcentral
UGCUAGGAUGAGAGAACGCAGUGCCAGUAAUGGUGGCAAGUAUAUUUCUGUACAUCUUCGCUUUGAGGAGGAUAUGGUUGCAUUCUCGUGUUGUAUUUUUGAUGGAGGACAUAAAGAGAUGGAAGACAUGAAAGCAGCCAGAGAAAAAGGAUGGAAAGGAAAGUUCACAAAACCAGGCAGAGUUAUACGUCCUGGUGCCAUCAG